Molecule: microRNA precursor, 196 nt
Filed under: Hordeum vulgare
Lineage: Eukaryota; Viridiplantae; Streptophyta; Magnoliopsida; Poales; Poaceae
Also listed under: 1 other name
Description: microRNA MIR159
Rfam family: MIR159 microRNA precursor family
Source: RNAcentral
GGUUUGGAGGUGGAGCUCCUAUCAUUCCAAUGAAGGGUCUACCGGAAGGGUUUGUGCAGCUGCUUGUUCAUGGUUCCCACUAUCCUAUCUCCAUUAGAACACGAGGAGAUAGGCUUGUGGUUUGCAUGAUCGAGGAGCCGCUUCGAUCCCUCGCUGACCGCUGUUUGGAUUGAAGGGAGCUCUGCAUCUUGAUCUA